This 72-nucleotide transfer RNA is filed under the name Shigella boydii CDC 3083-94. It matches the Rfam family "tRNA". Rfam says of the family: Transfer RNA (tRNA) molecules are approximately 80 nucleotides in length. Their secondary structure includes four short double-helical elements and three loops (D, anti-codon, and T loops). Lineage: Bacteria; Pseudomonadati; Pseudomonadota; Gammaproteobacteria; Enterobacterales; Enterobacteriaceae. RNAcentral also lists the same sequence under 2 other names. The record is from Rfam by way of RNAcentral.
UGGGGUAUCGCCAAGCGGUAAGGCACCGGAUUCUGAUUCCGGCAUUCCGAGGUUCGAACCCUCGUACCCCAG